Daphnia carinata is the source of this 1384-nucleotide long non-coding RNA. RefSeq lists it as uncharacterized. The transcript is spliced from 5 exons. Lineage: Eukaryota; Metazoa; Arthropoda; Branchiopoda; Diplostraca; Daphniidae. The record is from RefSeq and is a predicted model, not a curated record.
UCCAUGAAUAGCAUAGUACAAGGAUACAAACUGGAUCAGUAUUUUGCGUGAGAUUUUGGACGAAGGAUGUUCAAUUAUUCUAAACCACAUUUUAUACAGUUAUAAUAUUCUGUCAGGGAUCCUGUCCAGAAAUUGCAUGUGAUGAUUUAAAAGAUUCUUGCCAGUGGGACUGGUUGCAAUUUUCGACCACAACCGCUUAUUUCAGCUGUUCCAAGUAUCGGAACAUUGCCUAUUCAAGUACUUAGAGGCGGGUGCCCAUGACAACAACAGUUUUUCACGGCGCCGUAAUGGUAUAUUUGCAGGAUGGAAAAAAUACAGUGCUGCGGUGGCCUGAAAAAUGUGCCCAGUUAAAACGAAUCAACAUCGGUCAUCCAGGACCUUAAAGAAGAGAUUAGUGGAAUGAUCCCUGGUAGAUCCGAACAGGAAAUGGGAGUACAGUUUGUAUUACAUUGCGGGAAGAAUAUCCUCGAUCACUUGUGUGUUACAGAAUAAUCAGCAAUUUCAUCCUGAUUUUUUGUUUUUAUUCAAUGCGUUGGACAACGGGAGCGUUCUUCAAUUAGACUGCCCUGACUAUCUUGUAUUACUGUCCGUCAUGCAUGGUGAGAAAUUUCACGGACUGCGUCGUAAGUUGGUGUCACCUUUACGAAGCCAAACAGGUGAAACGAAAUGCCUUUAAGAAAAUAAAGAAUUAAAUUGCUGCUCUGCUUCUUUAGUCAGCAGAUCUAGAGCAUAUGCAUAUUGUGAAAGAGAUCAAGUAUCUGUACCGGAACUGGCUCUCUCCCAUCGCGACGUCAGACCUCCCCAAUGUAUCGUUCUGAGGAGAGGAGUUCCUGAAAAGACGUAGAAUGUUUUGAACCGUCUUGGCCUAAAGCUCUAGGUAUUACAAAAUAGGUAGUCGCUUUUUGGUUAGUUUCUUCGCUGUCCGACGCCAUACAGAUUCUGCCGAACAAUCCUGAUGUAUUGAGCGCUCAUUCGGAAUGGCUGUUCCCUUCCUCGAUCAUGGCUCACGUAAUUAAAUAACAUUGUGAUUCAAAAAACGUUACAUUAAUGUUCUAUUGGUAAUUAUCUCGAGGUUAUGUUGACUCGCAAAAUCCAAUCAGAAGAGGGUCCCUGUUUCGUGGACAUGAAGACGAAAGUUUUAUAUAACAGCGAGUCAUCUAAACAGAUCAAGCUCAUGAAAUAUCUCUAUAUAUAUUGAUAGGCAAACGUUUAGAUAUUGAUUCAUGUUUCGUUUUCUUUAUAUAGGUUAAAAAUCAUACCGACUCCAGAGAGGUAUCUAGUUGCACCAAAUUUUAAAUGAUAACGCUUAACACCGGUUGUGGAAAUUUUGAAAAAUGCUACCUGAAGACAAAGUAUUAAAAUUUAUGUUAACCGAAAUGUAUGA